Molecule: long non-coding RNA, 223 nt
Filed under: Eucalyptus grandis
Lineage: Eukaryota; Viridiplantae; Streptophyta; Magnoliopsida; Myrtales; Myrtaceae
Description: long non-coding RNA (EGRA_LNC005925)
Source: RNAcentral
UGACUUCAAACUGGUAGAUCAUCUCCUGAGGGAUGCGGGGCAGUGUGACAGGUCCAACGACGAUGCUUGGAAGAGGAGUGGUUAAAGAAAAAGAAGAAAAGGCUAAAGCGUGAUGAAGAAUAGAAUGCCCAUCACUAACAAAAGCCAAAGAGCUCUGGUCUUACCUAUAAACACACGCAAUCUCCAGUUUGAACUGAGAGUAGACGAAUCGUGAGAGAUGUGC